Long non-coding RNA from Papaver somniferum (opium poppy), 1915 nucleotides. RefSeq lists it as uncharacterized. NCBI's taxonomy places the organism in Eukaryota, Viridiplantae, Streptophyta, Magnoliopsida, Ranunculales, Papaveraceae. The transcript has 13 exons. The record is from RefSeq and is a predicted model, not a curated record.
CUCAGCCUCUCUUCUAUUUCUCUCAACCGAUGAAACCAUAUGAGUCUCUCUCAGCCUCUCUUCUCUUCCUCUCAGCCGAUGAACCAGAUUGAGUUUGAUGAAUCAGUUUCAAUUCAGUUUGUUCAUCAUCUGUAAUAGGAUUUUUAGGACUUCAUAAAUUAAUUUUAGGGUUUCUGUCUAUAUUAUGAUUCAUUUUUUCGAUUUUAAUUUGUUCGUCGAAGUUCGAACUUGGAAGAACUGAUCUUCACUCUCAGCUAAUCGUGAGAAAGCAUCUGUUCAACUUUGUUUAAUUUAGAUGCAGAUGGAAAUGAAGUUCAUAAGUUGACUGAGAAGCUACAAAGGGGUUAGCAUAAGGAGAAGCUUCUUAAGCUUCAAAUUUCAUGUGGUUUCUCAAUCAACUGUCACUGGUUGGAUCGGCACAUUGUAUUGUUGUUUCUGAUGCGGUUGAUGCCGGUGAUAGAGCUGAGGAAGACGAUGGUACAUUUUCUAAGGGUUUUUCCUAGGAAGGGGAAGAUGAGUAUGAGAAAGGUGGGGUUAUAGUAGACGAUGUUGAUGUUGAAGAUCAGGAUAAAGAAGAGAAUAGGCAAAGUAGUGAUGAGGAUAAACAAAAUGAGAGGAAAAAGAGGAAAAAGUGGGAAUCUGAGAAGAAUUAUGUCUUAGCUGAGGAUGAUUAAGAGUUACUGUAGGAUCACAAUGCGGGCUUUCACCGUCCUGCACUAGGAAGUAAAAAGUUCAAGCGACUAAAGAAAGCGGGGAGGGGUAAUUAUUUGGAGGAGCAUACUGGUCUAUCUGACAAUGAUGCAGCGGAUAGAAGUGGUUGUAAGGGAAUAAGUGCUGAAGAAAGUGGGAAGGGGUAAUUAUUUGGAGGUAUGGCAGAGUUCGAUACUUUAUUAGUUCAUCUCUUAUGGGUUUGCUGCAGAUAUUGCCGAAACUUGAGUUUGCUGGCUGGCGCUGCUUGUACCUGUUUGCUUCCAACCCUGAACUUUAUUUUAAGCAUGUAGUUCAUCUUUGAGACCGACAUAUUUGAAUACAUCCACAUGUUGUUGAAUCUUGAGUUUGCUGGCUGGCGCUGCUUGAUCAGAAGAUAGGUUUUAACAAGAACAAGAAAUUGGUCAAGAAGCUCGCUAAUAAAUACCAUGUAUCUGAAACCGUUAUUAAGCAAGUUCCUCGUCUUCUUGGACCUGGUCUCAACAAGGCAGGAAAGUGUAUUUCCUUAAACCACAAAUCUCUAUCGGGAUAAGGAUCAAGGGAUAAAGGUUCUUGUUAAUGCUAUCCAAGCUUGCACUGAAACAAUAGAUAGCCACAAGGAUAAACUGGUAGUAAAGGAGGCACCAAGAUUGCAGAUACUCAUUAGCGUUAACGAUUGUUACGACUAAAACAACAUCGAAUAGUGGUCGGGUUGAAGAUGCUCCUGAUGAUCCUGAAUCCGAUAUAAGACUUCAAUGAUACCUAUAACAGCAUCAAAGACUUAUCUUUGGACACAGUUAUAUCAGCUUAGAGAAGAGAGAGACAUGAAUCCUGAAACUUUUUCUAGUCUUGUUUCUGCUAUUUUCUACGAGAAAAGGGAUCUUUCGGGCAAUAAUUUUUCGGGUGUCCCAUCUUCUAUUGCUGAUCUAGAGCAUCCGCUUACCUUGUUAUAUGAAUGAUGUGUUUUCUGAUCGAAAGGCUGGAGAAUAAAGCAGCGCAAGUUUUGUAAGUUUAUAUGUGGGAAGUUAUUAAGUUUAUAUAUAUUACAUUAGAAAUUUGGAACUCAGUUUCUAUAGAAUUUGAUACUUAACAAAAAAUUGGUACUUAGAAGAAUUUAUGUACUUACCAAAAAAAAUUAUACUUGGAAGAAUUUGUGUUCUUUUUUGGCAUGAAUUGGUUGAAUGUGAUGUGAAUUGAUUUUUGAAUGUAAUAUGAAUUGAUUGUUGAA